UGUUAAUGUAGCUGGACAACAGCCUUGUGGGU
Molecule: non-coding RNA, 32 nt
Filed under: Rattus norvegicus (Norway rat)
Lineage: Eukaryota; Metazoa; Chordata; Mammalia; Rodentia; Muridae
Source: RNAcentral